UUUGAAUUAAUAAAAAAAAUCAGCAUAUGUUAUUGAUGUGCUGGUAAAUUUCUGUAAUCAUGUGCAUAAAUAAUUAGUUAAAUUUUGUAAUAAUGCGUGAAAAUUAAGAAUAGUAUUCUUUUUUUGCGAAGUUUUUGGUUGUGCAUCAAAUAAAAUUUGACAGCAACCCUCUGUAGGGGUCGGAGAGAGUACCGUUAUCAAAUCCAUUAUGCAAAACCUAUCUGGUUGGUUUUGAGGUAUGUGAUUGAUUAAUUAUGCUGUCGUUAUACUGCACAUUUUUUUUAUAAAUUUGUCGUA
This 297-nucleotide long non-coding RNA is filed under the name Ananas comosus (pineapple). Its description in RNAcentral is "long non-coding RNA (ACOM_LNC032856)". Lineage: Eukaryota; Viridiplantae; Streptophyta; Magnoliopsida; Poales; Bromeliaceae. The record is from RNAcentral.